AGCUCCAAUAGCGUAUAUUAAAGUUGUUGCGGUUAAAAAGCUCGUAGUUGGAUUUCUGCCGAGGACGACCGGUCCGCCCAUUGGGUGAGUAUCUGGUUCGGCCUGGGCAUCUUCUUGGAGAACGUAGCUGCACUUGACUGUGUGGUGCGGUAUCCAGGACUUUUACUUUGAGGAAAUUAGAGUGUUUCAAGCAGGCUUACGCCUUGAAUACAUUAGCAUGGAAUAAUAAUAUAGGACCUCGGUUCUAUUUUGUUGGUUUCUAGAGCUGAGGUAAUGAUUAAUAGGGAUAGUUGGGGGCAUUCGUAUUUAACUGUCAGAGGUGAAAUUCUUGGAUUGCGUUACGACAAACUACUGCGAAAGCAUUUGCCAAGGAUGUUUUCA
RNAcentral lists this ribosomal RNA (381 nucleotides) under uncultured eukaryote. Its description in RNAcentral is "SSU rRNA". It matches the Rfam family "Eukaryotic small subunit ribosomal RNA", at positions 587 to 972 of the family's 1831-position model. The record is from RNAcentral.